GCCCCUCACCCUCCCGGGUGUUGAGACAGCCCGCCGGCGNCNCNGUUAACUCUUGUUUUUACACUGANACUCUGAGCACAAAACAUAAAUGAAUCAAAACUUUCAACAACGGAUCUCUUGGUUCUGGCAUCGAUGAAGAACGCAGCGAAAUGCGAUAAGUAAUGUAAAUUGCAAAAUUCAGUGAAUCAUCGAAUCUUUGAACGCACAUUGCGCCCUCUGNNAUUCCGGAGGGNAUGCCUGUUCGAGCGUCAUUUCAACCCUCAAGCCUGGUUUGGUGAUGGGGCACUGCCUGUAAGAGGGCAGGCCCAGAAAUCCAGUGGCGAGCUCGCCAGGACCCCGAGCGCAGUAGUUAAACCCUCGCUCUGGAAGGCCCUGGCNNUGCCCUGCCGUUAAACCCCCAACUUUUGAAAAUUUGACCUCGGAUCAGGUAGGAAUACCCGCUGAACUUAAGCAUAUCAAUA
Molecule: ribosomal RNA, 461 nt
Filed under: Diaporthe sp.
Lineage: Eukaryota; Fungi; Ascomycota; Sordariomycetes; Diaporthales; Diaporthaceae
Description: eukaryotic LSU rRNA
Rfam family: 5.8S ribosomal RNA (bases 98-251)
Source: RNAcentral